UGGGGAAUAUUGGACAAUGGGCGAAAGCCUGAUCCAGCCAUGCCGCGGGUGUGAAGAAGGUCUUCGGAUUGUAAAGCACUUUAAGUUGGGAGGAAGGGCAUUAACCUAAUACGUUAGUGUUUUGACGUUACCGACAGAAUAAGCACCGGCUAACUCUGUGCCAGCAGCCGCGGUAAUACAGAGGGUGCAAGCGUUAAUCGGAAUUACUGGGCGUAAAGCGCGCGUAGGUGGUUUGUUAAGUUGGAUGUGAGAUCCCCGGGCUCAACCUGGGAACUGCAUUCAAAACUGACUGACUAGAGUAUGGUAGAGGGUGGUGGAAUUUCCUGUGUAGCGGUGAAAUGCGUAGAUAUAGGAAGGAACACCAGUGGCGAAGGCGACCACCUGGACUAAUACUGACACUGAGGUGCGAAAGCGUGGGGAGCAAACA
RNAcentral lists this ribosomal RNA (427 nucleotides) under uncultured bacterium. RNAcentral describes it as "partial 16S ribosomal RNA". It matches the Rfam family "Bacterial small subunit ribosomal RNA", at positions 355 to 774 of the family's 1533-position model. The record is from RNAcentral.